AGACUGUCAGAGUUGGAGAUGAAAUCACUUUGAAAUGUGAAAAUGCAAAUGAUUUCAGUGAUGGAUGUUACUGGAUCACAUGGUUGUACAGUGAUUUAACCAAACCAGCAACUACCCUGUUUGAACACGGGAAGAUUAACAAAGAUGUUGGAUCUAAAUCAGACAGACUGAGUCUUCCAGAGAAAUGUUCUCUGGUUAUAAAGAAGAUCACAGAUGAAGAUGCUGGAAGAUACAUCUGCAGACAGUUCAACUCAUCAGGACACAUGGAGACAGAGUUUAUAAUUGCACUGACUGUUAAAAAUGAAAAUGAUGUCAGAUCAAAGAUUAAAACACCUAAACCAACAUCCAAACCAUCGUCUGCAUCAACUUCUGCAGCUGAAUCCACAACAACCACAGGAUCAGUUCUGUCAACAUUCAAACCAUCAACUGCAGCAGAUCAAGUCUCUAAAACAGGUGUUUGGUGGAGGAUCAUCUAUGUUCCUGUGGGUGUAGCAGCACUCUCAGUCAUCACUGUAUCAGUCUGGAUCUGGACCAGAACAUGAGGAGCAGAAUGAAGAAGUCUUUGAAGAUCUGAUGAUUCUCCUUCAGUGAUGAACACAUUUUAAAGGGUCUAUAUCAUGCUUUUCUUUAUCUUCAGUGCAAACUGCAUUCAUAUAU
Molecule: long non-coding RNA, 657 nt
Organism: Oryzias melastigma (Indian medaka)
Lineage: Eukaryota; Metazoa; Chordata; Actinopteri; Beloniformes; Adrianichthyidae
Exons: 4
Source: RefSeq, a predicted model, not a curated record